GCCCCUAAAAUCUCUUUGAUGGUCAGCUCACAGUGCCAUUUCUAGGAGGCAGCAAGCCUUUUUUUAAUGAUGGAAAAUAUCAUCCCAUUAAAAUCCAAGUACCAAGCUAGUAUUUCAGAAAGGCAUAUUUCUUUCUUGUCCUAGGGGAAAGCAGGAGAACCAGGGAAGCCAGGCAAGGAUGGAAAGGGCUUGCCAGGAUCUCCUGGACCCAAGGGAGAGCCUGGAGUUCAAGGAUACCAUGGAAGAAAGGUAAGAACAGCAUAUCUGAGAAGCACAGAACUUGAAAAUAAAAGAAGCAUAACAGUAUUUUAAGUGCA
RNAcentral lists this long non-coding RNA (317 nucleotides) under Pogona vitticeps (central bearded dragon). Its description in RNAcentral is "lncRNA (ENSPVIG00000023326.1)". Lineage: Eukaryota; Metazoa; Chordata; Lepidosauria; Squamata; Agamidae. The record is from RNAcentral.